Molecule: ribosomal RNA, 184 nt
Filed under: Amanita sabulicola
Lineage: Eukaryota; Fungi; Basidiomycota; Agaricomycetes; Agaricales; Amanitaceae
Description: partial large subunit ribosomal RNA
Source: RNAcentral
UUUGACACGGAGYACCAGUACAUUGUGGUUGUGCGCUCAACGAGUSGAGUUGUUUGGGAAUGCAGCUCUAAAUGGGUGGUAAAUUCCAUCUAAAGCUAAAUAUUGGCGAGAGACCGAUAGCGAACAAGUACCGUGAGGGAAAGAUGAAAAGAACUUUGGAAAGAGAGUUAAAAAGUAUGUGAAA